This 188-nucleotide unclassified non-coding RNA is filed under the name uncultured Pleosporales. Its description in RNAcentral is "sequence contains ITS1". The record is from RNAcentral. Lineage: Eukaryota; Fungi; Ascomycota; Dothideomycetes; Pleosporales.
CAUGAUAUCACGGGGGGCAGGAACCACCAAAGUGCGCCGCGUUUCGACGUGGACGCCCUUUGACCUGCCCUGUCUGAAUAUUCUACCCAUGAUUUUGCGUACCAUUUGUUUCCUUGGUGGGCUUGCCCGCCAAAAGGACACUAUACAACCUUUUGUAGUAGCAGUAUCUUCAGUAAAAACAAAUAUUA